AGUGAACGCUGGCGGUAGGCCUAACACAUGCAAGUCGAACGGCAGCACAGUAAGAGCUUGCUCUUACGGGUGGCGAGUGGCGGACGGUUGAGGAAUACAUCGGAAUCUACUUUUUCGUGGGGGUUAACGUAGGGAAACUUACUCUAAUACCGCAUACGACCUACGGGUGAAAGCAGUGGAUCUUCGGACCUUGCGCGAUUGAAUUAGCCGAUGUCGGAUUAGCUAGUUGGCGGGGUAAAGGCCCACCAAGGCGACGAUCCGUAGCUGGUCUGAGAGGAUGAUCAGCCACACUGGAACUGAGACACGGUCCAGACUCCUACGGGAGGCAGCAGUGGGGAAUAUUGGACAAUGGGCGCAAGCCUGAUCCAGCCAUACCGCGUGGGUGAAGAAGGCCUUCGGGUUGUAAAGCCCUUUUGUUGGGAAAGAAAAGCAGCAGGUUAAUACCACGCUGUUCUGACGGUACCCAAAGAAUAAGCACCGGCUAACUUCGUG
Molecule: ribosomal RNA, 492 nt
Filed under: uncultured bacterium
Lineage: Bacteria
Description: partial 16S ribosomal RNA
Rfam family: Bacterial small subunit ribosomal RNA
Source: RNAcentral